GCUAGUAAGGAAUGUUGUUGUUUCAGCUGGUCUUCUUAGAAUUUUUGGUAGGGAAGUUGCUGAGCUUCCUCUAGUUGCGACAAGUAGAGAACAUCAAGGAAAGGGUUACUUCCAAGCACUAUUCUCAUGCAUUGAGAGGUUACUGUGCUCUCUGAAGGUGGUAAACCUAGUGCUACCAGCAGCUGAGGAAGCUGAGUCAAUCUGGACGGGAAGAUUUGGCUUCAGAAAGAUGAACGAGGGACAAGUGUCGAAGUAUACAAGGGAGCUGCAGUUGACAAUAUUCAAGGGCACAUCAAUGCUGGAGAAGGCGGUCCCCCAGAUAAUCGAGUAGCAGCUUGGACUCUCUGGAAUUAUACUCAACUCUAUUCCUGUAAUGUGGUCUGGUAUUUUGAUUUUGUGGACAGCAGGCAGCAAAGUCAAAGUCUUAUUGAGUAUUGUUUUCUUGUACUAACUAGAAUUGAAGAGCAACAAGAAAAGAAGAUAAAUGAUUGUGAAAAGAAUCAGAGCGUGCUGACCUUUUAUAAUGCAUGCGUGUCUCAUAAAUUUCUUGCUUGCUUCUGUUCUUGUAGUCGUUUGUUUUGU
This 582-nucleotide unclassified non-coding RNA is filed under the name Hevea brasiliensis (rubber tree). Lineage: Eukaryota; Viridiplantae; Streptophyta; Magnoliopsida; Malpighiales; Euphorbiaceae. The record is from RNAcentral.